AGUGAACGCUGGCGGUAGGCCUAACACAUGCAAGUCGAACGGCAGCACAGUAAGAGCUUGCUCUUACGGGUGGCGAGUGGCGGACGGGUGAGGAAUACAUCGGAAUCUACUUUUUCGUGAGGGAUAACGUAGGGAAACUUACGCUGAUACCGCAUACGACCUACGGGUGAAAGCAGGGGAUCUUCGGACCUUGCGCGAGUACAUGAGCCGAUGUCGGAUUAGCUGGUUGGGGGGGUUAAGGCCCACCACGGCGACGAUCCGUCGCUGGUCUGAGAGGAUGAUCGGCCACACGAGAGCUGAGACAGGCACCAGGCUCCUACGAGAGGCAGCAGUGUGGAAUAUGAGGCAGUGGGCGCGAGCCUGGUCCAACCGUACCGCGUGUGUUGAAGCGGCGUUCGGGUUGUAAAGCCGUUUUGUGGGGAGAGAAAAUCAGCAGGUUAAGACCCCGCUGAUCUGACGGUACCCGAAGAAUAAGCACCGGCUAACUUCGUG
This 492-nucleotide ribosomal RNA is filed under the name uncultured bacterium. RNAcentral describes it as "partial 16S ribosomal RNA". It matches the Rfam family "Bacterial small subunit ribosomal RNA", at positions 29 to 507 of the family's 1533-position model. The record is from RNAcentral.